Molecule: transfer RNA, 72 nt
Filed under: Ornithorhynchus anatinus (platypus)
Lineage: Eukaryota; Metazoa; Chordata; Mammalia; Monotremata; Ornithorhynchidae
Rfam family: tRNA
About the family: Transfer RNA (tRNA) molecules are approximately 80 nucleotides in length. Their secondary structure includes four short double-helical elements and three loops (D, anti-codon, and T loops). Further hydrogen bonds mediate the characteristic L-shaped molecular structure. tRNAs have two regions of fundamental functional importance: the anti-codon, which is responsible for specific mRNA codon recognition, and the 3' end, to which the tRNAs corresponding amino acid is attached (by aminoacyl-tRNA synthetases). tRNAs cope with the degeneracy of the genetic code in two manners: having more than one tRNA (with a specific anti-codon) for a particular amino acid; and 'wobble' base-pairing, i.e. permitting non-standard base-pairing at the 3rd anti-codon position.
Source: Rfam by way of RNAcentral
AGCAGCGUGGCUCAGUGGAAAGAGCAUGGGCUUGGGAGUCAGAGGUCAUGGGUUCAAAUCCCACCUCAGCCG